Molecule: ribosomal RNA, 253 nt
Filed under: uncultured bacterium
Lineage: Bacteria
Description: partial 16S ribosomal RNA
Rfam family: Bacterial small subunit ribosomal RNA
Source: RNAcentral
UACGUAGGGUCCGAGCGUUGUCCGGAAUUAUUGGGCGUAAAGAGCUCGUAGGUGGUUUGUCGCGUUGUUCGUGAAAACUCACAACUCAAUUGUGGGCGUGCGGGCGAUACGGGCAGACUGGAGUACUGCAGGGGAGACUGGAAUUCCUGGUGUAGCGGUGGAAUGCGCAGAUAUCAGGAGGAACACCGGUGGCGAAGGCGGGUCUCUGGGCAGUAACUGACGCUGAGGAGCGAAAGCGUGGGGAGCGAACAGG